GAAUCUGGCUUCAGGUUCGGGACAACAGUUGGAAACGGCUGCUAAUACCGGAUGUGCCUUAUGGUGAAAGAUUUAUCACCUGAAGAUGAGCUCGCGUCUGAUUAGCUAGUAGGUGUGGUAAGAGCGCACCUAGGCGACGAUCAGUAGCUGGUCUGAGAGGAUGAUCAGCCACACUGGGACUGAGACACGGCCCAGACUCCUACGGGAGGCAGCAGUGGGGAAUUUUCCGCAAUGGGCGAAAGCCUGACGGAGCAAUACCGCGUGAGGGAGGAAGGCUCUUGGGUUGUAAACCUCUUUUCUCAGGGAAGAAUGAUGACGGUACCUGAGGAAUAAGCAUCGGCUAACUCCGUGCCAGCAGCCGCGGUAAUACGGAGGAUGCAAGCGUUAUCCGGAAUGAUUGGGCGUAAAGCGUCCGCAGGUGGCAAUGUAAGUCUGCUGUCAAAGCGUCUGGCUCAACCAGAUAAAGGCAGUGGAAACUACAUAGCUAGAGUAAGGUAGGGGUAGAGGGAAUUCCUGGUGUAGCGGUGAAAUGCGUAGAGAUCAGGAAGAACACCGGUGGCGAAAGCGCUCUGCUGGACCUUAACUGACACUGAGGGACGAAAGCUAGGGGAGCG
RNAcentral lists this ribosomal RNA (614 nucleotides) under cyanobacterium 2-11. Its description in RNAcentral is "bacterial SSU rRNA". It matches the Rfam family "Bacterial small subunit ribosomal RNA", at positions 122 to 770 of the family's 1533-position model. The record is from RNAcentral. Lineage: Bacteria; Bacillati; Cyanobacteriota. RNAcentral also lists the same sequence under 1 other name.